This 319-nucleotide ribosomal RNA is filed under the name uncultured bacterium. RNAcentral's name for it is "bacterial SSU rRNA". It matches the Rfam family "Bacterial small subunit ribosomal RNA", at positions 28 to 334 of the family's 1533-position model. The record is from RNAcentral.
GAUGAACGCUAGCGACAGGCUUAACACAUGCAAGUCGUGGGGCAGCGGGGUGAAGGCUUGCCUUCACCUGCCGGCGGCCGGCGCACGGGUGAGUAACGCGUAUGCAACCUGGCCGUGACAGGAGGAUAACCGGUAGAAAUGCCGCCUAAUACUCCAUAAUACUUUGCGGGACAUCCCCGUGAGGUCAAAGGAAGCGAUUCCGGUCACGGAUGGGCAUGCGGCGCAUUAGCUAGUCGGCGGGGUAACGGCCCACCAAGGCGACGAUGCGUAGGGGUUCUGAGAGGAAGGUCCCCCACAUUGGAAUUGAGACACGGUCCAA